Molecule: small nuclear RNA, 142 nt
Filed under: Cervus hanglu yarkandensis (Yarkand deer)
Lineage: Eukaryota; Metazoa; Chordata; Mammalia; Artiodactyla; Cervidae
Description: U4 spliceosomal RNA (ENSCHYG00000007688.1)
Rfam family: U4 spliceosomal RNA (bases 1-108)
About the family: U4 small nuclear RNA (U4 snRNA) is a component of the major U2-dependent spliceosome. The structure of U4 snRNA from yeast and human has been reported.
Source: RNAcentral
AGCUUUGCGCAGUGGCAGUAUCGUAGCCAAUGAGGUUUAUCCGAGGCGCGAUUAUUGCUAAUUGAAAAAAAAAAAAAAAAAUAAAAUGAAUAUCAGGUAUUAAAAGACAAAAUAAUUGUAUAACUAGAGUUUCUUCAAUGUG